GGUUAAUUGAUGGGGUUAGCUUCGGCGAAGCUCUUGAUCGAAGCCCCAGUAAACGGCGGCCGUAACUAUAACGGUCCUAAGGUAGCGAAAUUCCUUGUCGGGUAAGUUCCGACCUGCACGAAUGGCGUAACGAUGGCCACACUGUCUCCACCCGAGACUCAGUGAAAUUGAAUUUGCGGUUAAGAUGCCGUAUACCCGCGGCUAGACGGAAAGACCCCGUGCACCUUUACUACAGCUUUGCACUGGACUUUGAUUUUACCUGUGUAGGAUAGGUGGGAGACUUUGAAGCGCUGUCGCUAGAUAGCGUGGAGUCGACCUUGAAAUACCACCCUGGUAACGUUGAGGUUCUAACUUCGGUCCCUUAUCGGGAUUAAGGACAGUGUAUGGUGGGUAGUUUGACUGGGGCGGUCUCCUCCCAAAGAGUAACGGAGGAGCGCGAAGGUACCCUCAGCAUGGUCGGAAAUCAUGCAACGAGUGCAAUAGCAGAAGGGUGCUUGACUGCGAGACAGACACGUCGAGCAGGUACGAAAGUAGGUCAUAGUGAUCCGGUGGUUCUGUAUGGAAGGGCCAUCGCUCAACGGAUAAAAGGUACUCCGGGGAUAACAGGCUGAUACCGCCCAAGAGUUCACAUCGACGGCGGUGUUUGGCACCUCGAUGUCGGCUCAUCACAUCCUGGGGCUGAAGCCGGUCCCAAGGGUAUGGCUGUUCGCCAUUUAAAGUGGUACGCGAGCUGGGUUUAGAACGUCGUGAGACAGUUCGGUCCCUAUCUGCCGUGGGCGUUUGAGAAUUGAGAGGAGCUGCUCCUAGUACGAGAGGACCGGAGUGGACGAACCUCUGGUGUUCCGGUUGUCACGCCAGUGGCAUUGCCGGGUAGCUACGUUCGGACAGGAUAACCGCUGAAAGCAUCUAAGCGGGAAGCCCCCUUCAAGAUGAGAUCUCACAGGACUUUAAGUCCCUAAAGAGCCGUUCAAGACUAGGACGUUGAUAGGUUGGGUGUGUAAGCACGGUAACGUGUUGAGCUAACCAAUACUAAUUGCUCGUGAGGCUUGACCAU
RNAcentral lists this ribosomal RNA (1054 nucleotides) under marine metagenome. Its description in RNAcentral is "bacterial LSU rRNA". It matches the Rfam family "Bacterial large subunit ribosomal RNA", at positions 1875 to 2925 of the family's 2925-position model. The record is from RNAcentral.